CCCCACCUGCAACCCACAGCAUGGCGUAGCACCAGGGCCUUAACAACCCUAUUCCCAACUUUAAUUCGCUAGUAACCACAACAAUGACUCUGUCUCACGAGCGACGCCGUGGUCCACCCAAUGCUCCAGUAACGUGGGGGCAAAUAAAGUCCCUCUCCCAACAAGCUGAACACCUGCUAGAGCAACAAAAUAAGGAAAAAUCCCCAAAAAAUUUGUUGCUUGCCCUUAUUACUUGUUUGCAUGCUAAUUCUUGUAUUUUAUUAAGCAUAAUAAUAUUUGUUGUUUGUCUGCCCUUGGGAUCCGGGGUAGCACAUCCCCCCUAUUCCCCAGCUACCAAUGUAUGGGAGGUUCUGGCUCUUUCUAUUAAUUGUACUGAUUUUUGCCUUUCCCAGCAAACAGCAAUAAAACAAUUGCUUGGUACAUGUCUUAUUCCAGUUUGCCAUAAUGCCAAUAAAAUAAAAAAUAGCACCUGGUUUUACUCCAGCUUAAAAAGCAACACCACAAUUAAAAAUUUGGGCUUUUCAGCCUAUCAUAAUUGGGGACCCCAGUCCCAACGUCUUCCAAACGAGGCUGUUCAGUUGCUUACCCCUUAUGUUGCUAAUUUAAAUGCUAGCUGUGCACGUAUAACCAAUUGCACAGCGCACACCUGUGUCACUCUCCCUGCCACCCCCCUUAAUUGUUCCAAGCCAUAUAAUAUUUCCUACCUUUACAAGCACAUAAAAUUGCCCCCUGGAUGGUUCUGGACAUGCACUGACCGGACCUUUAAUUACAUCCCAGCUAAUCUUACUAAUAGCACCUUUUGCUGCAUCAGCCGUCUGUCCCUCAUUCUUAUUCCCCGGUCUAAGCAUACACCACAAGCAAAGCGUUCAUACACUCAGCUGUCAUCUGAUUGCGACUCCAAAGUCGAUCUCCUGUCCAAAACCGAAUAUGUGGCCCUGGCUGCUUCUUUGGUUGGUAUACCUGGCUUAACAAUUAUAAAUAGCAAAAAUCUUAACCGGUUAGCCUGUUCAGCAGCUAAAGCUCUUAAUGCCACGUCCAUUGCAGUGGCAUUGCUUAAUAAAAAACAAAUGCAGUUACGCCAUGGUAUUUUGCAAAAUAAAGCU
RNAcentral lists this long non-coding RNA (1103 nucleotides) under Gopherus agassizii (Agassiz's desert tortoise). Its description in RNAcentral is "lncRNA (ENSGAGG00000002334.1)". The record is from RNAcentral. Lineage: Eukaryota; Metazoa; Chordata; Testudines; Testudinidae.